This is a long non-coding RNA of Aricia agestis (brown argus), 121 nucleotides long. RefSeq lists it as uncharacterized. The record is from RefSeq and is a predicted model, not a curated record. The transcript has 3 exons. Lineage: Eukaryota; Metazoa; Arthropoda; Insecta; Lepidoptera; Lycaenidae.
AUUGUAACAACAUUAAAUUCAGUGUACACUACACAAGUUAGUAUAGGUGCCGGCAGGGCGACAAGCCCUUACGGAAUCUUAUAUAUGAUUAACUAACUAAAGACUAAAGGGGCACCUGACA